Molecule: ribosomal RNA, 253 nt
Filed under: uncultured bacterium
Lineage: Bacteria
Description: partial 16S ribosomal RNA
Rfam family: Bacterial small subunit ribosomal RNA
Source: RNAcentral
GACAGAGGGUGCAAACGUUGUUCGGAAUUACUGGGCGUAAAGCGCGUGUAGGCUGCUUGGAAAGUCGGAUGUGAAAGCCCUGGGCUCAACCCAGGAAGUGCAUUCGAAACUUCCGAGCUCGAGUUCUGGAGAGGAUAGCGGAAUUCUCGGUGUAGAGGUGAAAUUCGUAGAUAUCGAGAGGAACACCGGUGGCGAAGGCGGCUAUCUAGACAGAAACUGACGCUGAGACGCGAAAGCGUGGGGAGCAAACAGG